AAGUCGUAACAAGGUUUCCGUAGGUGAACCUGCGGAAGGAUCAUUAACACUUUUCAUCCCUAACAUACUUGCAGAGGAAGGAAGCUUUCUAAGCGACUUUUCUCUGUAGGUUACCAACCCCUUUGUGUGCACUUGUUGAGAGGAACAUCUAAGUUCGCUUAGGUCAACUCCUCUUGCUUUUUUUCAACUUUUACCUUUUUUUUACCCCUUUUCUAAUGCGAUAGACUGAAAUAAUAACCUUUUUGGAAGGGUUUAAAACAUCCAAAAGAGUAAUACAACUCUUAGCAACGGAUAUCUAGGCUCUC
This 305-nucleotide unclassified non-coding RNA is filed under the name fungal sp. RNAcentral's name for it is "partial internal transcribed spacer region". The stretch from base 1 to 46 matches the Rfam family "Eukaryotic small subunit ribosomal RNA", at positions 1786 to 1831 of the family's 1831-position model. The record is from RNAcentral. Lineage: Eukaryota; Fungi.